UCCAACCCCCCAACAAACCAUCUAGCUCAGCUAAUUCUUUGUCUUCGUAAAUCGUAAGACUAAAACUUAUAAGGCACAGAGAGGUAGGGGAAUUGUUGAAUUUCACCACCGAGUGAAAUGCUCUCGAUUCUCUCUCGCCUGUGGCUGUUGCCUUUGUUAUUCAUAUUCAUUCGUCGUAUUUCGUAAAGGAAACAUCAUUCUUUAAAACGUCUCUUUCAAAUAUUGCUUAUUUCUCUGCGACGCGAUUUUAACUUCAACCAUUUUAAUUUAAUCUUUAAUUACGCGAAUUUGCGAUUUUAUUACUCGCGAUGGUUUCGACUGUUUAAUAAUCGAAUUGCAAAUAUUUAAUCGCGAAAUAAGGUUAUAUUUAAUUUUUCCUAAUUGUGAAUAAUGUUCGUUGGUUCGCGAGAAGUAUGAUGGUGACGUUGGUAUUAUAUUUCAAUCCUUUCAGACUGAUGGAAAUUAUCGAGUAUCGUAGUUCGGAGGAAAAGCGGCUCGUGUAGAAAAUACGUAAAGUUUUCCAACGUACAUUUUACUUUUAAAAGAUGGUUUUAUCUUGUACUUUCGUCAUCGAAUGUAUCGACCUACUUGUCGACCUAUCAAG
Long non-coding RNA from Planococcus citri (citrus mealybug), 604 nucleotides. RefSeq lists it as uncharacterized. Lineage: Eukaryota; Metazoa; Arthropoda; Insecta; Hemiptera; Pseudococcidae. The record is from RefSeq and is a predicted model, not a curated record. The transcript has 3 exons.